UUAAAAAGCUCGUAGUUGGAUUCUGGGAUUUCAGCCGGCCGGCUCUUAGGAGUGUAGCUAGGUUGCAAGUCUCAUCUUCUCACAAUUCUCGCUGGCCUUAACUGAUCGGCGUAGAGGACUGAGUCGUUUACUUUGAGAAAAUUAGAGUGUUCAAAGCAGGCUAUCGCCUUGAAUAUAUUAGCAUGGAAUAAUAAUAUAGGACUUUGGUUCUAUUUUGUUGGUUGUUCGAGGACCGAAGUAAUGAUUGAUAGGGACGGUUGGGGGCAUCAGUAUUCUGAAGCGAGAGGUGAAAUUCUUGGACCUUCGGAAGACUAACAACUGCGAAAGCAUUUGCCUAGGAUGUUCUCUUUAAUCAAGAACGAAAGUUGGGGGAUCGAAGACGAUCAGAUACCGUCGUAGUCUCAACUAUAAACUAUGCCAGCUAGGGAUUGGUGGAUGUUUGAUUACGACUCCAUCAACACCUUAUGAGAAAUCCAAGCAUCUGGG
This 486-nucleotide ribosomal RNA is filed under the name uncultured marine eukaryote. RNAcentral describes it as "bacterial SSU rRNA". It matches the Rfam family "Eukaryotic small subunit ribosomal RNA", at positions 619 to 1111 of the family's 1831-position model. The record is from RNAcentral.